Non-coding RNA from Echinostoma caproni, 47 nucleotides. The record is from Rfam. NCBI's taxonomy places the organism in Eukaryota, Metazoa, Platyhelminthes, Trematoda, Plagiorchiida, Echinostomatidae.
AUCCAGGCCUUUUUAAAGGCCACCGCAGUUGAGCAGCUUAUGACAUU